AAGGCCUUAAGUUAAUUUAAACUAUGGGCCUUCAAAGCCUGAAAUGGGCCUCUAAGCCUAGGUCUUG
This 67-nucleotide transfer RNA is filed under the name Cerithidea tonkiniana. RNAcentral's name for it is "tRNA-Trp". Lineage: Eukaryota; Metazoa; Mollusca; Gastropoda; Potamididae. The record is from RNAcentral.